Molecule: unclassified non-coding RNA, 3299 nt
Filed under: Leishmania donovani
Lineage: Eukaryota; Euglenozoa; Kinetoplastea; Trypanosomatida; Trypanosomatidae
Description: gene:LdHU3.18.0450(CDS-product:tubulin_tyrosine_l igase_protein_putative)
Source: RNAcentral
CGCCGCGGGUCCCACCAAACAUCGCGUUCGCGUGUUGCCGAGUCCGCAGGGACUCUUCACAGUCGCCCUCCCUCUCCUUCUCCGCCCCCCUCUUGCUCUCUCUCAUCUCUCCGCAGGUAAUUUCGUCUUGUCGGUCUUGCCGACCAUCGGUGGCGGUGCCCGUUCGCCUGCUUCUUCUUCUCUGCGUCCCCGCACUGCACGCGGUUGCGUGCGUGCGCGUUCAAGAGCUGACGCACAUGGAGCACCGACGCACCCGCACCGGGCCGAUCCGGUUCCGCUGCUUUCUGCGCAACACCAUCCUUGACGUGAUGCGCUGCCGUGGCUGGAUCGAGACGGACAGCGAGUCGGACUGGGAUUACUACUGGGCCGACGUCUCUUGGAUCCGGGAGAACUACGACGGGCUGCGCCUCGAUGACCAUCAGCACCUGAACCACUUCCGCAACCACUACGAGCUGACCCGCAAGGAUACGAUGGUGCGCAACAUCAAGAGGAUGGUGAAGGCGCUGGAGAAAGACGGGGACGCCGAGGAAGUGGCCGCUGCGUGGGACUUCUUCCCUGUCACUUUCUCACUCCCGCAGGACUACGGACUGUUUGAGCAGGAGUUCCGCCGACAGCCCAACACGAUCUGGAUCAUGAAGCCGCCAGCCAAGGCGCAGGGCAAAGGCAUUUUUCUCUUCUCGAAGCUCUCUCAGAUCGCGGAGUGGCGCCGCGAGUUUAAGCUACGCCACGGGUACUUGACAAGCAGCGGCGGCGGAGGCGGAGGCGGGGCCAUGGGCGGGGGUGGCGUCAACGGGGCAUCUUCGGGUGGCGGUGGCGGCGGCGGUGGCAGCUCAUGCAGCGGCAACGGGCUGGGAAGCGUGUAUGGUGUGCCGGAGCCGGUAGAGCCGUACCUCGCGCAGCGCUACAUCGCGAACCCGCAUCUCGUCGGCGGCAAGAAAUACGACCUGCGUAUCUACGUAUUUGUCCAAAGCUAUCAACCGCUGACGGUGUGGCUGCACCGCACCGGAUUCGCGCGCUUCUGCCACCACCGCUAUUCUCUGGACGACAUUGAUAACACAUACAUCCACGUCACAAACGUGGCUGUGCAGAAGACGUACCCGAAGUACACGGCGGCGUCGGGUUGCAAGUUUGGCAUUCGAAACCUGCGCACCAUCCUCACCGCCACUCACGGCGCGGCUCGUGCGAAUCAGCUGUUUGGCGACAUCCAACAGAUGAUCAUGCGCACUUUGUUUUCUGUGCAAAAGAUUAUUCUGCAGGACAAACACUGUAGUGAGCUGUACGGCUACGACGUUAUGAUUGACGACACACUGCACCCGUGGCUCAUCGAGACGAACGCGUCGCCGUCGCUGACGGCGGAGACGCCGGCUGACUACCACCUCAAGUUCAACAUGCUGAAAGACAUGUUCGAUGUCAUCGACAUGGAGGGCCGGCGCAGCGGCGAGGAGGAGCGGGUGGGUGGCUUCGACCUGAUCUGGGCCAACGGCCCUGCUGGCGUCUCCACCAACGACAGCCAAAAGACAAUGAUCUCGUCUUACCUCGGGUGCGCGAAUGAGCUUGAGAUUCCCAUGUCGCAGCUGCGCCUGCCUCCUCGACUGCAGAACCACAGCAGCAGCGAGCACCCGCUCACGUGAGGUGUGGCGAAGCCUUUGUUCUUGCUGACAGUGGCGGUAGGACGGGCGGGAAAGAAGUGCGCGACUCGCGUUGGCCACAAGCGGCAAUUACGCGGCAGCUUGCUUGCGACGACCGUGCGUUCUUUUUUUUUCGUUGAGCACGCGUCUACCACCCACUUUCCGCCCUUCGUGCUACGCGACCAGACCCCGCGAUCGAUGCUCUUUAGGCGAUGAAGGAGAUUCGGUUGACGGGGUCGGCUGCUGUCGUCGCGGCAGCUGCUGCUGCUCCUCUUUUGUUUUCUUCUCUUUCUCACUGCAUGUACUACGCCCUCCCUCAUGACGAGGGAGACACACCUCCGCGCGUGGCAUCUCAGGGCCCAGCGGCCCCGCACCCUCUGUGUGGGUGGAGGAGGCCAAAGCAGCCCUCCUAUAUCCCUGCCAAAUGCCGAACCACUUGAGGUGGUGACCGGGUCAGGUGCCUACGACGUAGGGGGGGGAGGCGAGUGCGAUGCAUCCCUGCUGAUGUGGGCGGCCGUGCCCUGGACGGCGUGGCGUCGGGGCGACCUGCGACUGUGAACAGGUCUGUGCCCAUCCACGUGAUGGGCAGGGUGCCCACGGCACUUGAACGACUGUCUCGCCCCGGGCCCUCACACGGCCCACUGGUGAGGGAAGCGGCUGUGAGGCGACCUGCGCAGCGCGGGGUGGUGGGCGGAGUUUGAGGCGCAGGCCGUUCUGAAAUGGCUGUGUUGGCAUUUUUGUAGCGCGCGUGUGAAGCGCUGCUUCGCCCCACACGCGGUGGUGGAGGCCUGUGACGGGGCAGAGGGGUGUCGAUCGGAGUUGACGUCACCGUUGUAUGGAGACAGAUGGCCGCUUUUGGAGCGAAAAUGGGGAUGUACGUCUUUAGGCGAGCUUGUGAUCGUUGUUGGAGCGGAGGAGAGGUGCGCAAGGACGGCUAAGCUGAAGGAGGACGAGUACGGCGGGUGGGGAUGGUGGCGGCCAUCUGUUUCCGUGUUCCGUGAGAGAAUGGGUUUACCGUAUUCGCUGACCUUUACAAGCCCUCCAGCGAGGUGAGAGGAUGAUGGAGUAGAAAGGAGCUUCUGGUGCCUUCUCGGCUGACGGUCUGCGGUCCCCCUUGGCGGCUCCUUCCCAGCCCGCACGCUUUCUCUCCCCGCAUCGCCGACUGCCUCACACGCCCUCGCGCUGUUCUUGCCGUUACACCGGCUACUGUGCGCAUGCACCUUCACCCAAGCGGAGAGCGAGAGAUGAGGCAUCAUGCGUAUCUGUGCGCCGCGGUCCUGUUGGUCGGCUGACCUUCUCCAGCACGGGCCUUCCACGCCACGCACAAAGCCUUCGGCCGCGGCGGGAGCGGCGGGCGAGGACAAUGCCGGCGCCUUCCUGUUCGUGGUGUCCCACAUUCUAUACUGGAUUGCUCUUGCAGUCGUAGAGUUCGCGAGAGCCAGGGGUGGGGCCGAAGGAGAGAGGAUGAGUGUGUGUUUGGUCGGCACAAGUUACGGAUAUGGCGUGACCCAGAACGGCUAAAGCACAAGAGUCGCACCGCUUGUGUGCAUGUGCCGUUACGGCGUUGAUGUGAGGAAUGCGUGUACGGUGCCACUGCCGGUGCACCAAUGGCCUGCACAGUCCUCCUCCUCCUCAUCCCUUCUCUACGUCGCUCUCGCUCACGCACCGAAG